Long non-coding RNA from Cyprinus carpio (common carp), 772 nucleotides. RefSeq lists it as uncharacterized. The record is from RefSeq and is a predicted model, not a curated record. NCBI's taxonomy places the organism in Eukaryota, Metazoa, Chordata, Actinopteri, Cypriniformes, Cyprinidae. The transcript has 3 exons.
CAUCAUCAAAUGAGAGUGACAGGUGAAACCGUUUCAAGACAAUGGCAGGAAAAGCAUGCUGAAGAUUGAAUCAAACCUUGGCUGGAAAUAUUUGAAGGGAUCUAGCCAGUCCACAAUGAAAGCUUCGUUGCCCCCCUGUGAGUCUUCUGGCAGAAAUGAUGGCGCCUGUAUUCUUUGGUUUCCCUAAACAUCACAUCGUGUUUAUACGAGGCUCUUCAAUUAAGUCUGCACCCAAAGAUUCAAUAAGAGAGGGGAUCCUGCCAGUCCAAAGUGAACUCCUGAUGGACAUUGAAGUACUCCUGCAGAGCUUGUAUCUUCGACACCAUGCGCAUUAGAAACUCCACUGAGUGCUUUCCUUCACCAAGGCAGGACCCAGUGACUCAUUACUGUUGAUCGGUCAGGGGCAGGUCAUUUUUUUGUUUCAUGUUUAUUAAUUUCUCCAUGGAUUACCAGCCAUAUAUAUGGAAACAUGCUGUAUUCUCAAGAUCUAUGCUGUUUGGUAGGAAUAGAGAAAAUGAUAUGUUUAGUCUGUUUUCAAAUGGUAUGUCAAAUUUUCUCAUUGUUUAUCAGUAAUAUUCACUACGUUGGUUAUAUAUGAGCAUCUUUAGAUUUUUCUAUAUUUAGCGGUUGCAAAUGUAAAAUGUACGGUAAACUAUUUAUGUUCCUCAUAUUGUACUGUAUUUUUAGCAGUAAAAUACCGGCAGCUGUGGUUGCCAGGAAUUUACCGUAAAAUGUAUCUGGUCAAAAUAAAAUGCUGUAAUUUGUUAUACAA